GACGAACGCUGGCGGCGUGCUUAACACAUGCCAGUCGAACGGAAAGGCCUGCUUUCCCUUGUGGAUUGCGGGUACUCGAGUGGCGAACGGGUGAGUAACACGUGAGUGAUCUGCCCCCAACUUGGGUAUAAGCCUGGGAAACUGGGUCUAAUUCCCGAUAGGACUGCAGGGUGGUGCCUGUGGUGGAAAACGAUUUUCUAGUGGUUGGGGAUGAGCUCGCGGCCUAUCAGCUUGUUGGUGGGGUAAUGGCCUACCAAGGCGGCGACGGGUAGCCGGCCUGGGAGGGUGGACGGCCACAUUGGGACUGAGAUACGGCCCAGACUCCUACGGGAGGCAGCAGUGGGGAAUAUUGCACAAUGGGCGGAAGCCUGAUACAGCGACGCCGCGUGGGGGAUGACGGCCUUCGGGUUGUAAACUCCUUUCGACCGCGAGGAAGCCACCUGGUUGGAAGGGUGGUGACGGUAGUGGUAGAAGAAGCACCGGCUAACUACGUG
This 494-nucleotide ribosomal RNA is filed under the name uncultured bacterium. RNAcentral's name for it is "partial 16S ribosomal RNA". It matches the Rfam family "Bacterial small subunit ribosomal RNA", at positions 28 to 507 of the family's 1533-position model. The record is from RNAcentral.